RNAcentral lists this long non-coding RNA (732 nucleotides) under Setaria viridis. Its description in RNAcentral is "long non-coding RNA (SVIR_LNC010123)". Lineage: Eukaryota; Viridiplantae; Streptophyta; Magnoliopsida; Poales; Poaceae. The record is from RNAcentral.
GCAUCACCUCCCCCUCCGUUUGCCCAUCUCGCUCGCGUGACCCCGUCGGCUUCCUCCUCCCCGCCCCGACCCCGCCGUGCACCAGCGGAGCUCGCUGCCGCUGCCCGCCCCGCUGAGAGGCCCGAUCCCUGAUCCGCACGCUGUGAGCAGUGGUACCAAGGGAUUAGCGAUGGCGAGGCGGCGGCCGGCGGUGCUGCUGCUGGUAGUCGUGGCGCUGGCGGCGGUCCUGUCGGCGGCGCGAUGGGCGGACGCGCUGUCGGUGACGGUGACCGACACCGAGUGCAUCCACGAGUUCGUUCCCUACGAGGGCGACACCGUGUCCGGGAACUUCGUCGUCGUCGACCACGAUAUCUUCUGGAGCUCCGACCACCCCGGCAUCGACCUCACGGUACCCGCCCCGAUCCCCUCGGCCCCCUUGCGUCCUCCGCUUCUGCGCGGUUGAAUUGGAUAGGAGGGUCGUGAUUCGAAUGGGUUUAUGGGUUGUUGUGGUAGGGAUCUGGCCAUCCGGUGGGCUGAAUUGGGGAUCCGGAGGCGGAUGGUUCGUCAGUCGUGAUCCCCUGACGCGAUCUCUAACUUCCGUACAAGUUUGGGGAUCUAGAGUAUUUCAUUGUCACUAGCAUGUGGUUGUCGUAUAUUUUCGGGAAUUUCAGUGGAUUGCCACUGCUUUGUUGUAUGGUUGCAUGUGUAUUCUGACCUGCGAGUGCACAAUAUCGGUGGUUCAAGUUUGAUUGG